GCUUGCUCAGGCAGCUUACACUGAAACUGGAAUGAUACAGGGAAGAUUAGUAUGACCUUUGUGCAAACAGGACACUCAAGUUCAGGAAGUGUUCCAUGUUAGA
Molecule: small nuclear RNA, 103 nt
Organism: Mesocricetus auratus (golden hamster)
Lineage: Eukaryota; Metazoa; Chordata; Mammalia; Rodentia; Cricetidae
Source: Ensembl